Long non-coding RNA from Chlorocebus sabaeus (green monkey), 361 nucleotides. RefSeq lists it as uncharacterized. Lineage: Eukaryota; Metazoa; Chordata; Mammalia; Primates; Cercopithecidae. The record is from RefSeq and is a predicted model, not a curated record.
GUCACGUGGAAAUCGGCACGUGCGCAGAGCUGGGGGAGCUCACAGUUUAACGGGAGACACACUCACAGAGCAUGUGUCUGCCUGGAAUGCCCUGCAAGAGGAGUCUGACUGGGGCAAGUGCUGGGCGGAUGUGGCACCGAGGAGGGGAUGGCUGGUUCUACCCGACGGAGCUGAGGAGUGUGUCCACAGGGAAGGUGACAGUCAAGGGAAGACUCAAAAGGAGGCUGGGGGCCACUGGUGGAUUUCACGAGGGAGGCUGAGAGCGUCAGGCCUCCUUCAUGCCAGGCCUGGACCAUGGAGAGGAAGCCACUUUCUGUCCCCAAGGAGCUCAAAUCUGGUGGGAAAGGAGCCACUGGAGUAG